GACGAACGCUGGCGGCGUGCUUAACACAUGCAAGUCGAACGGAAAGGCCCUGCUUUUGUGGGGUGCUCGAGUGGCGAACGGGUGAGUAACACGUGAGUAACCUGCCCUUGACUUUGGGAUAACUUCAGGAGACUGGGGCUAAUACCGGAUAGGAGCUCCUGCUGCAUGGUGGGGGUUGGAAAGUUUCGGCGGUAGGGGAUGGACUCGCGGCUUAUCAGCUUGUUGGUGGGGUAGUGGCUUACCCAGGCUUUGGCGGGUAGGCGGCCUGAGAGGGUGACCGGCGACAUGGGGACUGAGGGACGGCCCAGACUGCUACGGGAGGCAGCAGUGGGGAAUAUUGCACAAUGGGAGGAAGCCGGAGGCAGAAACGCCGCGGGCGGGAUGACGGCCUGCGGGUUGUAAACCGCUUUCGCCUGUGACGAAGCGUGAGUGACGGUAAUGGGUAAAGAAGCACCGGCUAACUACGUG
This 468-nucleotide ribosomal RNA is filed under the name uncultured bacterium. Its description in RNAcentral is "partial 16S ribosomal RNA". It matches the Rfam family "Bacterial small subunit ribosomal RNA", at positions 28 to 507 of the family's 1533-position model. The record is from RNAcentral.